CCUACGGGUGGCAGCAGUGGGGGAUAUUGGACAAUGGGGGGAACCCUGAUCCAGCGACGCCGCGUGAGUGAAGAAGUAUCUCGGUAUGUAAAGCCCUGUCAGCAGGGAAGCAAGAAAUGACGGUACCUGACCAAGAAGCCACGGCUAACUACGUGCCAGCAGCAGCGGGAAUACGGAGGGGGCAAGCGUUAUCCGGAAUGACUGGGUGUAAAGGGAGCGUAGACGGUUAAGUAAGUCUGGAGUGAAAGGCCGGGGCCCAACCCCGGGACUGCGCUGGAAACUAUUCCACUUGAGUGCAGGAGAGGUAAGCGGAAUGCCUAGUGUAGCGGUGAAAUGCGUAGAUAUUAGGAGGAACACCAGGGGCGAAGGCGGGUUACUGGACUGUAACUGACGUGGAGGCACGAAAGCGUGGGGAGCAAACAGGAUUAGAUACCCGUGUAGUC
This 443-nucleotide ribosomal RNA is filed under the name uncultured bacterium. RNAcentral's name for it is "partial 16S ribosomal RNA". It matches the Rfam family "Bacterial small subunit ribosomal RNA", at positions 338 to 795 of the family's 1533-position model. The record is from RNAcentral.